RNAcentral lists this ribosomal RNA (258 nucleotides) under uncultured Staphylococcus sp. RNAcentral describes it as "partial 16S ribosomal RNA". It matches the Rfam family "Bacterial small subunit ribosomal RNA", at positions 103 to 355 of the family's 1533-position model. Lineage: Bacteria; Bacillati; Bacillota; Bacilli; Caryophanales; Staphylococcaceae. The record is from RNAcentral.
CGGGUGAGUAACACGUGGAUAACCUACCUAUAAGACUGGGAUAACUUCGGGAAACCGGAGCUAAUACCGGAUAAUAUUUUGAACCGCAUGGUUCAAAAGUGAAAGACGGUCUUGCUGUCACUUAUAGAUGGAUCCGCGCUGCAUUAGCUAGUUGGUAAGGUAACGGCUUACCAAGGCAACGAUGCAUAGCCGACCUGAGAGGGUGAUCGGCCACACUGGAACUGAGACACGGUCAGACUCCUACGGGAGGCAGCAGCC